GAUGAACGCUGGCGGCGUGCCUAAUACAUGCAAGUCGAGCGAACAGACGAGGAGCUUGCUCCUCUGACGUUAGCGGCGGACGGGUGAGUAACACGUGGAUAACCUACCUAUAAGACUGGGAUAACUUCGGGAAACCGGAGCUAAUACCGGAUAAUAUAUUGAACCGCAUGGUUCAAUAGUGAAAGACGGUUUUGCUGUCACUUAUAGAUGGAUCCGCGCCGCAUUAGCUAGUUGGUAAGGUAACGGCUUACCAAGGCAACGAUGCGUAGCCGACCUGAGAGGGUGAUCGGCCACAGUGGAACUAGGACAAGGUCCAGACCUCUACGGGAGGCAGCAGUAGGGAAUCUUCCGCAAUGGGCGAAAGCCUGACGGAGCAAAGCCGCGUGAGUGAUGAAGGUCUUCGGAUCGUAAAACUAUGUUAUUAGGGAAGAACAAAUGUGUAAGUAACUAUGCACGUCUUGACGGUACCUAAUCAGAAAGCCACGGCUAACUACGUG
Molecule: ribosomal RNA, 497 nt
Filed under: uncultured bacterium
Lineage: Bacteria
Description: partial 16S ribosomal RNA
Rfam family: Bacterial small subunit ribosomal RNA
Source: RNAcentral